This 851-nucleotide ribosomal RNA is filed under the name uncultured bacterium. RNAcentral's name for it is "bacterial SSU rRNA". It matches the Rfam family "Bacterial small subunit ribosomal RNA", at positions 8 to 853 of the family's 1533-position model. The record is from RNAcentral.
AGAGUUUGAUCAUGGCUCAGAUUGAACGCUGGCGGCAGGCUUAACACAUGCAAGUCGAGCGGGGAAGGGUAGCUUGCUACCUGACCUAGCGGCGGACGGGUGAGUAAUGCUUAGGAAUCUGCCUAUUAGUGGGGGACAACAUUCCGAAAGGAAUGCUAAUACCGCAUACGCCCUACGGGGGAAAGCAGGGGAUCUUCGGACCUUGCGCUAAUAGAUGAGCCUAAGUCAGAUUAGCUAGUUGGUGGGGUAAAGGCCUACCAAGGCGACGAUCUGUAGCGGGUCUGAGAGGAUGAUCCGCCACACUGGGACUGAGACACGGCCCAGACUCCUACGGGAGGCAGCAGUGGGGAAUAUUGGACAAUGGGCGAAAGCCUGAUCCAGCCAUGCCGCGUGUGUGAAGAAGGCCUUUUGGUUGUAAAGCACUUUAAGCGAGGAGGAGGCUACUGAGAUUAAUACUCUUGGAUAGUGGACGUUACUCGCAGAAUAAGCACCGGCUAACUCUGUGCCAGCAGCCGCGGUAAUACAGAGGGUGCGAGCGUUAAUCGGAUUUACUGGGCGUAAAGCGUGCGUAGGCGGCUUUUUAAGUCGGAUGUGAAAUCCCUGAGCUUAACUUAGGAAUUGCAUUCGAUACUGGGAAGCUAGAGUAUGGGAGAGGAUGGUAGAAUUCCAGGUGUAGCGGUGAAAUGCGUAGAGAUCUGGAGGAAUACCGAUGGCGAAGGCAGCCAUCUGGCCUAAUACUGACGCUGAGGUACGAAAGCAUGGGGAGCAAACAGGAUUAGAUACCCUGGUAGUCCAUGCCGUAAACGAUGUCUACUAGCCGUUGGGGCCUUUGAGGCUUUAGUGGCGCAGCU